Molecule: non-coding RNA, 1069 nt
Organism: Sus scrofa (pig)
Lineage: Eukaryota; Metazoa; Chordata; Mammalia; Artiodactyla; Suidae
Source: RefSeq, a predicted model, not a curated record
GAUUAGACCCCUAGCCUGGGAACCUCCAUAUACUGCAGGUGCGGCUCUAAAAAGACAAAAAAAAAAAGAGAUACCCUUUGAAAGCUCUCCAUCCUGACUUGGACGAGGCCCAUGGGUCUGCCCUGGAGUCAUCACGGUUUCUCCCGCUCCCUUGGCCUCUUCACUGGCUCCUGGGUUCUUUCCUGGUGGAGCCCCCCCCGACCUUUCCAACACGGCUCCCGGGAGCAGAGGGAGAGCCCGGGUGGCUCCCCACAGGAGGUCUCUGCCCUCAGAGUCCGCUCAGACCCCCAUGCCCGCUCUAUCAAGCCCAGCAGAGUCCUUGGCCCUGGCGUCUGGGUUCCCCGCCCCUGCAGGCUCCACCUCUCCCCAGGCAGCCCGGCCAGGAGCUCUGGACACUACUGGCCCGGAACAGUCACCCUGCUUCUCAUCUCCCAACAGCAUCCGGUUCAUAUGCCCGAAGACUCAGUUCAGGAUGAGGCAGACCAGCAAUGAGAUACGCAGGGGAGAAAGGCUGGGGCGCAGCCCUCGCUCUAGAACUGCUUAAGGUCACGGGGCUUCGGCUCUGAGGCAUGAGGCUCCCCGUCAAGCCACGCGUCCUGAUGCAGGAUUCUCAUCAGAACAGCCGUGAUCUCUGACUCACUGCCAGUCAGCAAAGGAAUGUUCCCAGCCCCCUGGAGGGUAAUGAAGGGGAGACGAUAAGGCCAAACCCGGAGGGAUGAACGCGCCAUGUCACGGGUCCCCUGGGCACUCAGGGCAGCCAGGGGAGGUCCUUAGCCCAAAGCAGGUGUGGAAGCAGUGUCUCAGGAGGCGUUUACAGAAAUGUCACAUCUUUUUUAAAAAGUGAGGGCUUUUUCACGGACCCUGGAAAACAUCAAAGCUUUGAAGGCCUCAGCAGAUGUUCAUUUGUGGAAGGCUAGAGACCAAUAACCUAUUCAACUUGGGCAGCUUUCUUUGCACACCGGCGAGUAAUACGCUUCACUCCUUACGAAGAGCCCUGUCACUCAGACUGUCCCAAGCCAGCCCGACUUUCUCUGGGAAGUCCAAACCAAUAAAGGUGUGAAGAAAGGCA